UGCCAGACUCCUACGGGAGGCAGCAGUGGGGAAUAUUGGGCAAUGGGCGCAAGCCUGACCCAGCAACGCCGCGUGAAGGAAGAAGGCUUUCGGGUUGUAAACUUCUUUUAAGAGGGAAGAGUAGAAGACGGUACCUCUUGAAUAAGCCACGGCUAACUACGUGCCAGCAGCCGCGGUAAUACGUAUGGAGCAAGCGUUAUCCGGAUUUACUGGGUGUAAAGGGAGCGUAGGCGGCCUGCCAAGUCUGAUGUGAAAUACCGGGGCUCAACCCCGGGGCUGCAUUGGAAACUGGCAGGCUGGAGUGUCGGAGAGGCAGGCGGAAUUCCUGGUGUAGCGGUGAAAUGCGUAGAUAUCAGGAGGAACACCGGUGGCGAAGGCGGCCUGCUGGACUGCAACUGACGUUGAGGCCCGAAAGCGUGGGGAGCAAACAGGAUUAGAUACCCCUGUA
RNAcentral lists this ribosomal RNA (448 nucleotides) under uncultured bacterium. Its description in RNAcentral is "partial 16S ribosomal RNA". It matches the Rfam family "Bacterial small subunit ribosomal RNA", at positions 329 to 792 of the family's 1533-position model. The record is from RNAcentral.